Molecule: ribosomal RNA, 254 nt
Filed under: uncultured bacterium
Lineage: Bacteria
Description: partial 16S ribosomal RNA
Rfam family: Bacterial small subunit ribosomal RNA
Source: RNAcentral
GACGGAGGGUGCAAGCGUUGUUCGGAUUGACUGGGCGUAAAGGGCGUGUAGGCGGUUGGUCAAGUCCGAUGUGAAAGCCCGGGGCUCAGCUUCGGAAGUGCAUCGGAAACUAGCCAGCUGGAGCGCGAUAGAGGAGGGCGGAAUUCCUGGUGUAGCGGUGAAAUGCGUAGAUAUCAGGAGGAACGACCGGCGGCGAAGGCGGCCCUCUGGAUCGUUGCUGACGCUGAGACGCGAAAGCGUGGGGAGCAAACAGG